UACGAAGGGGGCAAGCGUUGUUCGGAAUCACUGGGCGUAAAGCGCACGUAGGCGGAUCUUUAAGUCAGGGGUGAAAUCCCAGAGCUCAACUCUGGAACUGCCUUUGAUACUGGGGAUCUCGAGUUCGGGAGAGGUGAGUGGAACUGCGAGUGUAGAGGUGAAAUUCGUAGAUAUUCGCAAGAACACCAGUGGCGAAGGCGGCUCACUGGCCCGGUACUGACGCUGAGGUGCGAAAGCGUGGGGAGCAAACAGG
This 253-nucleotide ribosomal RNA is filed under the name uncultured bacterium. Its description in RNAcentral is "partial 16S ribosomal RNA". It matches the Rfam family "Bacterial small subunit ribosomal RNA", at positions 524 to 776 of the family's 1533-position model. The record is from RNAcentral.